Molecule: long non-coding RNA, 1281 nt
Filed under: Sorghum bicolor (sorghum)
Lineage: Eukaryota; Viridiplantae; Streptophyta; Magnoliopsida; Poales; Poaceae
Description: long non-coding RNA (SBIC_LNC005540)
Source: RNAcentral
GCGGGGCAAUGAAUGAUAUGAUGUGCAGCAUGCGCGCGCGGCGUGCCCGCUGGCUGACGGACGGGGGACGACACGAUGCAUGCAUGCAUGCAUGCAUGUGUACGUGAUGCACGGUGCACCCACACUACGUACCCCCACCUGCGCCAAACUGCCAGGGUAUCGAUCGAGAUCGUCGGCGCAAGCACUCUCUUUCGCCUUCGUUUGCGCGCGCCUGCUUAGUUCACAUCCGUAACAAAUCUCAAUAAUUAGUUAGCGUAUUAGUGGGACGUGAAGUUUACUGGAUCGCUCAAUGACCUACGUAUUAAAACACGUUGUGUAUAUUAUUUCCCCAUGUUCUAGAAUCUACUAGGAUAGACCACACGGCAUACCAAGAGGUACGGUGAAGUUAAAAAGAUCGAACACCUGAUAGUUAACUAAACAAAAAAUUAAAAAAAAAAUGGUGGCUUUGUAACGUGGCAAUAUAGAGCAAUAACCGUACGUGUUGGUGGAUUGUUAAAAUUUACUCAAAUUCAUUCACGAACUCGGUGGAGAAAACAAUGGACAAUUUUUAUAUAUAUAUAUAUAUAUAUAUAUAUAUAUAUAUAUAUAUAUAUAUAUAUAUAUAUAUAUAUAUAUAUAUAUAUAUAUAUAUAUAUAUAUAUAUAUAUAUAUAUAUAUAUAUAUAUAUAUAUAUAUAUAUAUAUAUAUAUAUAUAUAUGGCCAUCUAUCAUUAGAAAAGACUGUUUGGCUGAUAAAUCAUGACAAAAAGUAUUAUUGACUGAUUUAUUGUGAGAGAAAAAUAUUAUUGAAUGGCUGACAAAUUCGGCUGAUAAGCUCAAGCGAACAGGCUAUAGAAUGUGACAAAACGGCACCAAAAAUCCUACUAGUACACAAUCAUCAUUCGCGUUGCAACAACGUCACCACCGUGAUUUCACUCGCUUAUAUUAGGAUGACAGGGACGGUGUGCCCGACCUCAACUGUCAUGCUAAGUGAUACGUACGUACCUACUACUACUACUACUUCUGCCACGUCAACGUCUCGCUACCAGGUACCAGCAGCUCCAUCGUCAUCAAAAACAAUACAAAAAAAUCGGUUAGAUGACCCCCCAGAGGAAAAUAGUGCAGUUUUUGUCAUGCCCCAUCGAAACAAAGGAAAACUCCAACAGAAAAAAAUAGAAAUGUGUCGUUAACCGAAACCGGCCCAUGCAAGGGGUGGCCCACAUCCUAGCUGGCGAAUCUUUUUCCUCCUCCGGUCGUCCGCAACCGGGGCCACCACACGAUCCCACCUUCCCAAGCCCCGCGC